Molecule: transfer RNA, 58 nt
Filed under: Apaloderma vittatum (bar-tailed trogon)
Lineage: Eukaryota; Metazoa; Chordata; Aves; Trogoniformes; Trogonidae
Rfam family: tRNA
About the family: Transfer RNA (tRNA) molecules are approximately 80 nucleotides in length. Their secondary structure includes four short double-helical elements and three loops (D, anti-codon, and T loops).
Source: Rfam by way of RNAcentral
UAGCUCAGUCGGUUGAGCAUGGUGCUGACAAUGCCAAGGCCACGGGUUCGGUUCCUGU